Molecule: long non-coding RNA, 2581 nt
Filed under: Eptatretus burgeri (inshore hagfish)
Lineage: Eukaryota; Metazoa; Chordata; Myxini; Myxiniformes; Myxinidae
Description: lncRNA (ENSEBUG00000017319.1)
Source: RNAcentral
UGCGCAUGCGCGUGGCGGGGCUCCAGUUUCAUGCCCAGGGAGGCGGCGAGGCGCACACUGCGCAUGCGCGUGGCGGCAGCUUCACAGAACAUGACAGUUGCUCGCGCUCGGUUUCCGUCAAUCGGACGAAUAACGUGUUAGGGCGUGGUUUGUGUCAUUCCUCAGUGUUUUGUUGGGGUAUCGACCAUUUCCGGGAUUUUUGUUCCUUGCUCGGGCCUGUAUCCUCACGGCGAAGCCUUUUCAUCUCGGUUGUGGAAAUCCUGCACAUCCCCCAAAUACUGGUGACUUCAGACCCCAAGGACUGCCACAAUGUCCUCCAUGUCCAGGCAACCAGGGAUACCCAGUGCCACCUGGAACCAUCCCAGGUUAUCCAAUGCCUGGUCAACCCAUGUGUUUUCCUACACAGCCAGGGUUCCCAAAUCCCAACAUGCCCUACCCUGGUCACCCCGGUCACCCCGGUCACUCUGGUCACCCCCACCAACAUGCUGAAAAAGGGCAUUGUGGUAAAUCAGGAGAUCAUCAUCAUGGCCAUCACAAGAAAGACAAGAAAAAGAAGGACAAGAAGGACAAGAAAGACAAGAAGAAGGAGGGCCACAAAAAGGGCCACAAGAAAAGCAAGAGCUCGAGCUCAUCCUCUUCGUCGUCCUCUUCAAGCAGCUCAGAUUGAUCACUGCGGAUGGAAAGCUCUCUGUGCAAACACUUCGUACUGUGUUUAUAAAAGCUUUUUAAUUAGUGCCUUGCAAUAAAUAAUAUAUUGGGUUUACACGUUUAUCUGUGCCAACUUUAUGGCUUUGGAUGGAGUUUUGUUCUGAAUGGGGAUCAAUUUACUUUUAUUUCUUUUUUGGUGGGGGGGGGGGGGUUGAUUUGAAAUUUAUGGACAUGCUUGCUGAUAUUCCUCAUGAUUGUAUUUCCUAAACACAAAAUAAAACGAUGAAAAUGUACAAUUGCAAGAAAAUUUUGUAUUUCUCGGAAAGCACAAUCUUCUCGUAGGAUUCUCAUGAUUGCAGUAUUUCCGACUACCUGCUAAACCUACAGAGGGCAUUUGAUCAGCUGCACGGUCUCACCCUCAGCCGAUUAUGCUACCCUGCAGCCUUGUGCUGCAUACAAAUGAAGAAGAAGAAAAAGAAUAAUAAUAAUAAUAAUAACAAGAAGAAGAUCUACAUCAAGUUAAAGCCGCAUAAUUUGGGUGCUGUGAUUUUAAACAACGCCUUACUCCAUCCUUUCUCCUGAUCUAUAUUUCUUGAUACAGGACCUGCUUUGGAAAGUUGAUGAAGCUGUUUGUUCAUCAUUGCUGAAUGAAUGUCACCCUUGCAUUCCACAGCUUGCCUGCUGGGUCACGUCCUUGUGUGAGAGAGGCAGGAUUCGAAUUCACCUUUUUAUUUUUACAGUUGAUGGUGUUGUAUGAAAUUUAGUCUUUUUGAUGCAGGAAUUGAUCGUUUAAAUGCAAUUCAACAUGGAUAACACUUAAAAACUGAUACCUAUAGAGAAAAGUACAAUUUCUUCUUGUACUUUGGAAAUGAUAUUCUUGUUCCAAACUUUAUCCCUGCCUCGUAAGAGGUGACCAGGGUUGCGUCAGGAAGGGCAUCCGGCGUAAAACAUGUGCCAAAUCACUAUGCGGAUCAUACAGAUGAUCCGCUGUGGCGACCCCUAACGGGAGCAGCCGAAAGAAGAAGAAGAUUCUUGUUCCAAACUUACAAAUGCUGACAUUUAGACAGUUUAUGAGAUUUGUGACAUAGACACUUCGGCUCAGUUUAUGUACGAGUGUAAGCCUGAAGUUACAUACACAGUGCCUUCAGAAAGUAAUCACAGUCCUUGACUUUUGUCACAUUUUGUUGUGUUUCAGCCUGAAUGUGAAAUGGAUUAAAUUUUUUUUUUUUAAAUUUGUCACCGAUCUAUAUAAAAUAGCCCGUAAUGACAAAGUGAAAACAUGUUUUUAGAAUUUUUUACAAAUUAAUUAAAAGUGAAAAGCUGAAAUGUCUUGCGUCAAUAAGUAUUCAACCCCCUGAGUCAAUACUUUGUAGAAGCGUCUUUGGUAGUGAUUACAGCUUCAAGUCUUCUUGGGUGUGUGUCUGUAUGAGCUUUGCACAUCUGGAUUUGGGGAUUUUUUCCCAAUUCUUCCUUGCAGAUUUGCUCAACCUGUCAAGUUGGAUGGGGAGUGUCUGUGAACAGCAAUCUUCAAGUCUUUCCACAGAUUCUCAAUGGCAUUCAAGUUUGAGCUUUGACUGGGCUACUCAAGGACUUUCACGUUCUUGUUCUGAAGCCAUUCCAGUGUUGCUUUUGGCUGUAUGCUUGGGGUCAUUGUCCUGUUGGAACGUAAAUCUUCACCACAGUCUGAGGUCUUUUGCACUUUGAAGCAGGUUAUCCUCAAGGAUUUUCCCGUAUUGGCUCCAUUCAUUGUUCCCUCUAUCCUUACAAGUCUCCCAGUCCCUGCCGCUGAAAAGUAUCCCCAUAGCAUGAUGCUGCCACCACCAUGCUUCACGGUAGGGAUGGUGUGAGAUGGGUGAUGAGCUGUGCUUGGUUUCCUUCAGAUGUAGCGGUUUGCAUUCAGGCCAAAGGGUUAAAUUUUUCUUCUCAUCGGACC